This 1370-nucleotide ribosomal RNA is filed under the name uncultured bacterium. Its description in RNAcentral is "bacterial SSU rRNA". It matches the Rfam family "Bacterial small subunit ribosomal RNA", at positions 28 to 1381 of the family's 1533-position model. The record is from RNAcentral.
GAUGAACGCUGGCGGCGUGCCUAAUACAUGCAAGUCGAGCGAACGGACGAGAAGCUUGCUUCUCUGAUGUUAGCGGCGGACGGGUGAGUAACACGUGGAUAACCUACCUAUAAGACUGGGAUAACUUCGGGAAACCGGAGCUAAUACCGGAUAAUAUUUUGAACCGCAUGGUUCAAAAGUGAAAGACGGUCUUGCUGUCACUUAUAGAUGGAUCCGCGCUGCAUUAGCUAGUUGGUAAGGUAACGGCUUACCAAGGCAACGAUGCAUAGCCGACCUGAGAGGGUGAUCGGCCACACUGGAACUGAGACACGGUCCAGACUCCUACGGGAGGCAGCAGUAGGGAAUCUUCCGCAAUGGGCGAAAGCCUGACGGAGCAACGCCGCGUGAGUGAUGAAGGUCUUCGGAUCGUAAAACUCUGUUAUUAGGGAAGAACAUAUGUGUAAGUAACUGUGCACAUCUUGACGGUACCUAAUCAGAAAGCCACGGCUAACUACGUGCCAGCAGCCGCGGUAAUACGUAGGUGGCAAGCGUUAUCCGGAAUUAUUGGGCGUAAAGCGCGCGUAGCGGUUUUUUAGUCUGAUGUGAAAGCCCACGGCUCAUCCGUGGAGGGUCAUUGGAAACUGGAAAACUUGAGUGCAGAAGAGGAAAGUGGAAUUCCAUGUGUAGCGGUGAAAUGCGCAGAGAUAUGGAGGAACACCAGUGGCGAAGGCGACUUUCUGGUCUGUAACUGACGCUGAUGUGCGAAAGCGUGGGGAUCAAACAGGAUUAGAUACCCUGGUAGUCCACGCCGUAAACGAUGAGUGCUAAGUGUUAGGGGGUUUCCGCCCCUUAGUGCUGCAGCUAACGCAUUAAGCACUCCGCCUGGGGAGUACGACCGCAAGGUUGAAACUCAAAGGAAUUGACGGGGACCCGCACAAGCGGUGGAGCAUGUGGUUUAAUUCGAAGCAACGCGAAGAACCUUACCAAAUCUUGACAUCCUUUGACAACUCUAGAGAUAGAGCCUUCCCCUUCGGGGGACAAAGUGACAGGUGGUGCAUGGUUGUCGUCAGCUCGUGUCGUGAGAUGUUGGGUUAAGUCCCGCAACGAGCGCAACCCUUAAGCUUAGUUGCCAUCAUUAAGUUGGGCACUCUAAGUUGACUGCCGGUGACAAACCGGAGGAAGGUGGGGAUGACGUCAAAUCAUCAUGCCCCUUAUGAUUUGGGCUACACACGUGCUACAAUGGACAAUACAAAGGGCAGCGAAACCGCGAGGUCAAGCAAAUCCCAUAAAGUUGUUCUCAGUUCGGAUUGUAGUCUGCAACUCGACUACAUGAAGCUGGAAUCGCUAGUAAUCGUAGAUCAGCAUGCUACGGUGAAUACGUUCCCGGGUCU